AAGCUAAUGGUGUCCCAGAAUACCAAAGAUUUCUAAAUCAUUGUGAAGAACAGUCGGCUUCCAGCAGCAGUGACAUUCAAGGAUGGAAAGAGAGGGGCAUGAUUCCUUUGUGGAGAAAAGUUUGAAAACUGGACGCAGAAUCACUACUAACAUUUUGGGGCCCAGCAGACAGUUUGAAUGGAAGUCAUGGUGGCAGAUGAAUGGAAGUCAUGGUGGCAGACAUCCUUAUGGUCUUACUGAUCACAGUGGAAUGGUUUCAAAAUUUCAAUAGGUUCAGUGGCUGCAGAGGUGAAAUGUUUUGACAAAUAUUGGACGUCAUACGGUUUACACUGUGGAUCAGCAUGGAUGUUUUU
Globicephala melas (long-finned pilot whale) is the source of this 353-nucleotide long non-coding RNA. RefSeq lists it as uncharacterized. The record is from RefSeq and is a predicted model, not a curated record. NCBI's taxonomy places the organism in Eukaryota, Metazoa, Chordata, Mammalia, Artiodactyla, Delphinidae.